AGACCUGAAAAGUAAAUAAACAUGUUUCAACUGCUCCAAGCGUUAGAACGCUGAAGUGGUAAUGGACCGCCCAUCUCUGCAGAAGGACGGACCGACGUUGAUGAAGAUAUGGAGAUUGCAUUUGAGCAAAUAUGCAUCGAUGAAGUAAAAUAUAGGUACCUGGUGCAAGCAUCUUCCCGGCAGGUUCUCUCAGGAGCACAUCCUGUCACCUCGUGUAACUUGGACUCUGCUUCUCGCGCCAGCCGUCGAAGAUGGGUCCCCAACGAGUCGGAGUUCUUGACUGUAACAAAAAUAUCAUUUUUAGAUAUACCUACAUCUAUAUU
This is a long non-coding RNA of Helicoverpa zea (corn earworm), 323 nucleotides long. RefSeq lists it as uncharacterized. The transcript has 2 exons. Lineage: Eukaryota; Metazoa; Arthropoda; Insecta; Lepidoptera; Noctuidae. The record is from RefSeq and is a predicted model, not a curated record.